GCCAGUGUGCUGUAGUGAUUUGAAUGCUGGACUACAACUCCGGAGACGGGUUCGAAUCCCGACUUGUCC
This is a non-coding RNA of Phrynosoma platyrhinos (Desert horned lizard), 69 nucleotides long. NCBI's taxonomy places the organism in Eukaryota, Metazoa, Chordata, Lepidosauria, Squamata, Phrynosomatidae. The record is from the annotation of a GenBank genome assembly.